GGUUACUCCUCUAUAGAAACCUGGCUUGGGCAGCUGUUUGGCAACUAUGAGUGAAAGCUUAAAAGUCAAAGUACUUGGCGGCCUUCUAAUCUAAUCAGGGGAAUAUGCCACUUGACUCCGAUGAUCCGCGGAAAUCUUACCCCACCUUGUAAUUAAUGAAGUCAGUCAGUGUACUGCCGUUGUCAGCUGGUUGCGUAAAGAAAGCAAGCUGAAAGCGGCCCAAUGAAGAUCAAUGACUUCAUCAAUUCAGGUCGAAGCGCUACCUACGGUGGGAGAAAUUUGGGGUAUUACAUUUCAGACUCAGGGAACUUGAUUAACGGAUGUCGGGGUUGCAAAACCUAAUUUGCGGGGAAGUUGAACUUGAAAGUAAGGAUGAUUAGAUGAGAAAAAGAGAAUAGCAUGCUCUCCUGAAUAAGCGCUGGAUUGCGUACAUAUCGCCCGUCGCUCUCGCUAUACUUGAAGGGGAGAU
Molecule: ribosomal RNA, 469 nt
Filed under: Spondylus gaederopus
Lineage: Eukaryota; Metazoa; Mollusca; Bivalvia; Pectinida; Spondylidae
Description: partial 12S ribosomal RNA
Rfam family: Bacterial small subunit ribosomal RNA
Source: RNAcentral